Rosa chinensis is the source of this 309-nucleotide long non-coding RNA. RefSeq lists it as uncharacterized. The record is from RefSeq and is a predicted model, not a curated record. Lineage: Eukaryota; Viridiplantae; Streptophyta; Magnoliopsida; Rosales; Rosaceae. The transcript has 3 exons.
GGAAGAAGAAGAAAUUGAGGAAGCCACCGAAGCAAUAUGCAUUCGUUGGGUUACAACCAUGGAAGGAAUUUGUAACUUAGAGGAAGACAGAGGAAUGGCUGAAACUUAACAAUGACCAAAGGGAACGAGUCAAGAAGAGAAAAUAUCAUCAUAGAUUAUCAAGAAAGGGAUAUAUUGGACUGGAGGAAGAAUUGCGAGAUACUUGGCCUGAAGGAGAGGUAAUUGAUCGCGCUAUUAUGUGGAAGAAAGCCCGUUUACUAAAAAAUGGGGAGAUAAGUGAAGAGGUCACACCGGUAGCAAGAAAGAUAG